This is a long non-coding RNA of Bubalus bubalis (water buffalo), 350 nucleotides long. RefSeq lists it as uncharacterized. The record is from RefSeq and is a predicted model, not a curated record. Lineage: Eukaryota; Metazoa; Chordata; Mammalia; Artiodactyla; Bovidae. The transcript has 3 exons.
GAUCACGAGAUAAUUCCAUCAGAAUCAGAGGAUAUCUUCUGGUGUAAGUCCAGGCUUUGGAGACAAGCUUCAAGGUCAGAGAAGAAGGCAGCUGGAAUAGUGUUUCACCACCUCUGGAGUGGAGGGAGAUGUUACUGCACUUGUUCAAUCACUCUUGUGUCCUCGGGACAUGCGGCCCCUCCUCUCUCCCACAGAACUGUUAAACCACUUCUAAACCAGGUGGACUCAAAUAUUCAUGAUCCUACAGUGUAUCCCACUAACAUCUACAAGAAAAGAAGCAACAAGUGCCUAAUACACCAGAAAGUACAGUUAUGCCAGAGACAACGCUUAUUAACUUCAUUUUAGCCAUG